RNAcentral lists this ribosomal RNA (460 nucleotides) under uncultured bacterium. RNAcentral's name for it is "partial 16S ribosomal RNA". It matches the Rfam family "Bacterial small subunit ribosomal RNA", at positions 338 to 795 of the family's 1533-position model. The record is from RNAcentral.
CCUACGGGAGGCAGCAGUGAGGAAUAUUGGUCAAUGGGCGGAAGCCUGAACCAGCCAAGUCGCGUGAGGGAAUAAGGCCCUACGGGUCGUAAACCUCUUUUGCCGGGGAGCAAGGGCGGGGACGUGUCCCGGCCCGGAGAGUACCCGGAGAAAAAGCAUCGGCUAACUCCGUGCCAGCAGCCGCGGUAAUACGGAGGAUGCGAGCGUUAUCCGGAUUUAUUGGGUUUAAAGGGUGCGUAGGCGGGAUGCCAAGUCAGCGGUAAAAAUGCGGUGCUCAACGCCGUCGAGCCGUUGAAACUGGCGUUCUUGAGUGGGCGAGAAGUAUGCGGAAUGCGUGGUGUAGCGGUGAAAUGCAUAGAUAUCACGCAGAACUCCGAUUGCGAAGGCAGCAUACCGGCGCCCUACUGACGCUGAGGCACGAAAGCGUGGGUAUCGAACAGGAUUAGAUACCCGGGUAGUC